This 425-nucleotide long non-coding RNA is filed under the name Bos taurus (domestic cattle). RNAcentral describes it as "long non-coding RNA NONBTAT017750". The record is from RNAcentral. Lineage: Eukaryota; Metazoa; Chordata; Mammalia; Artiodactyla; Bovidae.
UUUUGUGUGUAUUGAAUUCUUGAUUGGAAUUUUUGUUUUUUCAUUUAGGGAUUUGAAUAUAUUGUACAACAGGGUUCUGCUAAACUUCUAAAACCAGGAGAGAUCAUUUAAGGCCCUAGAUAGUAGCAGAGUUGUUUCUGGGUGACCUACUUCCUUUUAAAUAAAUAACAUUAUCUUCAUUUUUUGUUUUUUGCCUUCUCUCCCCACUGUUUAUAUGCUUUAUUCCCUUUUUUUCCCGGUGAUAUUGUUCAGAGUGAAGCACCUAAGAGGUCCAAAUCCUUGUUGGUAUGUGAUAAAUGAGCAUGAGGCAAUUAACAUGCUGCCCUUAUAAGCCAAAUAGACAAAUCAAAGUUGUUUAUUACAUAUGAGGUAUUCAUGACUAGCAUAGAGGGGAAAAUACUUUCUAUGAUGCCAAUAAGUUAUGU